This 385-nucleotide ribosomal RNA is filed under the name prasinophyte sp. RNAcentral describes it as "partial small subunit ribosomal RNA". It matches the Rfam family "Eukaryotic small subunit ribosomal RNA", at positions 582 to 975 of the family's 1831-position model. Lineage: Eukaryota; Viridiplantae; Chlorophyta. The record is from RNAcentral.
AUUCCAGCUCCAAUAGCGUAUAUUUAAGUUGUUGCAGUUAAAAAGCUCGUAGUUGGAUUUCGGGCCCAGGUGACCGGUCCGCCGUUUCGGUGUGCACUGGUUAGCUCGGUCUUUCUGCCGGGGACACGCUCCGUCUUAAUUGCCGGACGUGGAGUCGGCGAUGUUACUUUGAAAAAAUUAGAGUGUUCAAAGCAGGCUUACGCUCUGAAUACUAUAGCAUGGAAUAGCACGAUAGGACUCCGAGCCUAUUUUGUUGGUCUUCGGGACCGGAGUAAUGAUUAAGAGGGACAGUUGGGGGCAUUCGUAUUACGGUGUCAGAGGUGAAAUUCUUGGAUUUCCGUAAGACGAACUUCUGCGAAAGCAUUUGCCAAGGAUGUUUUCAUUG